AGAAAAUCUUCCUAAAAAAGUUCUACGACGUAACCUACGAAAAUUAGCCAGACGUUGCCCGUGCGUUGCGAACGAGCGAGCGAAGCCUUUGCCCUCGAGCGACGCCACACCAGAUCCUUCGCCCUCGCAGCCGCCGCCGACCCCCUCCCUCAAACGCCGCCUCCCGUCGCGGCCGCCCCCGCCACCUCCCGUCGCGGCCGCCCCCGCCACCUCCCGUCCGGCCUGCCCGGCCAUGGCAACACCGUCGGCGGACUCCUCCUCCCCCUCACCUUCUCUCCCUCUCCCAAGGGAGGGAAGGGAAUGGAAGGGGUCCGGCGGCAAGGGGAGGCAGCGCCCAGAUCCGCAGCCGCACCGGCUGCAACCAUGGAGGUCCGACCCGGCUGCAGCCAUGGACUGAGACGUCCGAAACCCUAGCUACCCGUGGAGGUCCGACGCCUCAACCUCCAAGGAAAGGACGCGCGUUGGCUGCAGGCCAUCUCCGGCGACCUCCGACCAUGGUUGCUCGGAUCUGGACCAGCUGCUGCUCCUACUGCUUCAGGUGAACGAGGACGAGCCCUCCCUCAUGGCUGCUGCGGCUGCCUACUCCCUCCUCCUACCCCCUGGCCUGGUGUGUGAACAAAGGAAGCCUUGCGCCAAGGAGAAGCGGGCGUGGUGUUCGACUAGGCCAAAGAGAGGACAGGAGAGGACCACAGAGAGCAAAGGAGAGGAUAGAGUCAGAGCGCCGUCAGUCAGCCGUGGGUAAAUCCGGUCAUGCUGCUUCAGGUUCAGGGUCUGCCUUGCUAUGAUACAAUGCGGGAGGAGAUCAACAUGUAGAGCAAGGUCUCCUGGUCCAAGUCCCCUGUCAGGAUGUGGUUCAACAUCAAGGGCAAGGCGCAGGAUUUCCAUGCGGAUAACGAUGCUACUACCCAAGGAUGGGACGAAGGUGAUUAACGGAGGACCAGCUGCUUGUAGAGGGACACAGGCGCUGCCAAGAAAAGCAGAAUUGAACGGUCGUUGAAGCGAAAUAUCGAUCAUGUUCGUAGAUCAGGGAAUGAAUUUGAUGUGUCACGCCUGACAAAAGCCCAAGAUUACAGAAUCUUUGUGUCGACGUGGAAUGUUGGUGGCCAAUGCCCAUCAAGGGGGUUAAAUUUAGAUGACUGACUCCAUUCUUCACCCCCUGCUGAUAUCUAUGUGCUCGGAUAUCACUUAUUACGAGGACACUAAACAAGAACGCUGGGUCUAGCAUUCAUGCUGGCUAUCACACGCCAUUCCCUGUCCCUGAUCCGGUUGUGGAACUAGAUGCUGAUUUUAAGGAAAUGAUAUGUUCUCACAACCAAUAUUGGCCCGUAGGUUUAUUGUGUGCAACCCUGUUAACAUAGGAGUCAGGCCGAGCGAUUUUGAUAGAAAUUUCAAGUGUAUCGGAUCACCAGUCGAUGAGUAUAUUGAGGAGGAUACAAGUAAUGGAGCAUAUUUUUCACCAUUCCCAUAGGCUAUGGUACUUAAACACCUAUGGAAAAAGAUGAAGAGCAGCCAAAUACUUCUAGGUGUCCAGGUAUUGUUUGGUUGCCAGCAAACAGAUGGUUGGCAGAUUUCUCACAGUUUGGGUACCAGGUAUAUAACCAAUUAACUCUGAAGAGAUGAAAAUACAAAUUAGUGUGGUAUAUUGCCGGUUCUUUAUCUUAUGCUUGUCCAUGUGCUUUUUUCCCCUUGGUUGAUUAUGGACCACAUCAAACUUCUAAAUUAUAAACUAGAUAUCAUGUUCAGCGUAAUUCGGCACUAAUUUUCUGGUGUGCUAUUUCCCAUGUCCAUCUUACUAUCCAGCUGCUUGCUUGUGGUAAUUCUGCAAACACUAGAAAAAAAAUCAAAUUUAUAGGUUGUUCAUCCACCUUAUAAUGUUAAUUGGAGAUAAGACCACAGGAACAGUUUGAGGCACAUCACAUAAUUAUUCUGUAUGAACUGCCCUAAAACUAAUCAUAUUUACAUUUGUAGGGGCUAGCUUUGCUGAUGUAUAUGCCGACAUGAUAAACUUGAUAUACAUGCAUACUUUAAUGUCAAUUGGAGAUAAGCUCAUAGUCUGGGGUGCAUCACAUAAUUACUAUGUAUGAACUGUCCUAGAACUAAUCACAUGUACACUUGUAGGCUUCAGAGUGUUGUUUCUGAAGAACCACAUUCAAGUCAUUAAAUUGAUUUUAUGAAGAGAUUCUCUCAGUUCUUGCAUAUUCGAUGUUUCAUGUUUGGCCUGCUUGGUAGCAACAUAGAUUCUCUACAACGUGCUAAUGACUUAUGGGAUGAUACCAUCAUCAUAUUGUCAGGUCAUAUACCUCCUAUCUUUUAUGCAAUCUUGAAGUUUAUUUACAAGGAUACAAUGCAUGUUUUCCUGAUCGAGUGAUCACUCGAUUAUGUGUUCAACCGAGAUCUGGAAAUUAGGGUGAAAGGGUCAGUACUUACACAUAGGGUUAUAACUAUAGCCAAGGAUAUAUUCAACAUAUAUAAUUUCAAGAAAAUACCAAGGUAUCCAUUUAGUUCUACCAAUCCCAUUUGCCUCAUAAUUGUUUUUGAAAUGUUUUAACAAAAUCAAUUCAAAACUUUUCCUUAUUAGUCCGCACCAAUUUUAGAUUUUAAAGUGCCUAAUUUUAAUCAAUAAGGAUCAUGACAUUGCAAGGCUUGAAUUUUUAGACUAUGUUCAGUUUCUAUGCCAAGCUGGAAAUUUGAAGAUAAAAGUUAAGGUGUACUUCAGGUGUCAACUAUCAAUACUAAAAAAAGAGCCUUCAUUUUUCCAUUGGCUACGACAUCAAACAUGUGUAUCCUACCAUGUAGGAGUACUUGUUCCAAUUCAUGGCUUUCAUCUUUCAUGCGUGUGUCUUCAAAGUUUAUAGGCAAUUACCACACAUAACUAACCAAGCCCCUCAUCAUGCUCGUGGUUAGUCAUUUUAAAACCUUUCUCUUUUAUCUGUUGUGUGCUCAUUGAGCUAUUCUAUCAUGCUUGUCGUUUGUUGUCAAGGUGAGUUGAGGCAGACAGCAAGGGCUGAGGUUGAAAAAUAAAUUGCCAUUGUGAUGCUAAGCAAAAUAUCAGGUUCUAAUUAGUGGAGGACUACAAAGUUAAAGAGGUCUUGAUGAGAUGAUUGACAUGACAUGAAUAGUUAAUUUGACGUGUAUCAUGGGCACUUCUUCAUUAUUCAGUUGCCUCGCUUGAAUUUGUGGACCAACUGGUGGGCAUAGUUCAGUUUUCACAGAUAGCGAAAGCUGCAAAACUGGGUGUGCUAGAUUUUGUUCAAAGUGCAAACUUUUAUUUGAUAAAGCCGGUCAAGUUUACUUGUGUACAUCAAUGCAGUACCAACUGUAAAAGAGUUACAACACAAGGUGAAGAGUCUCCUUUUUGUAUUACACUGGGAUUGAACCCGCAUGUUGCUAGGGCAACCCUCUUUUAUUUUGGUCUUUAACUCUAUUUUCUGGUGUAUCUUUGUUUAUUGAAAAUAGUUGUUGCCCUGCCCUCGACAAUUUGCAGUGUGUGCAUGACAUCUUAUAUACACUAUGGCCCUGUUUGGUUCAGCUUUUAUCGACGGAUUCCGCUGCCGCGCAGCAGAAUCUGAACCAAAGGGCAAACCCAGCAGAAUCUGAUUCCAGAAAUUCGCUGCCAAAAUUUGAACCAAAAGCGGAAGCAGCCCAGGACGUGCUUUCCAAAAUCUGAUUUGGAUGCGGGCAAAAAUCUGAAAAAACUGUAUCAGCUGGUUUGUCAAAUGACCUACAUCUUUUUCACAACUGCUUUUAGAAAUCCACAACCGAACCAAACAGGGCCUAUGGCUGGCUAAUUUAGAUAAUUACCACCUAUGACCACUAUCUUGCCUAUUUUUCUUGUGAUGGCAACCAUAAGUAGAGGGUUCAGCAAGGCAUUGAGAGAGACAGGUGGCAACUUCUCUACAUGUAAAAAAACUAUAGAUAGAGGGGGGGGGGAUAGACUUCUAGAAUUUACGCCAGGUUAAGACAAGCAAAUUUCAAAAUAUAAAAGCGUAUGAUUACGUGUGGACGUGAUGGUGGAAGGGAACUCGAGAAUUAGAAAGGUGGAGAUAGUGGGUGAAGAAGUAUGUCUCAUUAUCAUCAGAAUAUGAAUAUGCUCGCAUUUAGCGUCUCACCAAUGAAUAUAUAUUAUAUGCGAGCUUAUUUAUCCCCUCAAAAAAAUAUGACCUUAUUUUUAUUUUAAUAUUGUUUAUACAUGUCCACUUUUGAGAUCAGAGAUGAAAACUAAUGGCUUCCAAUGAUGCUUUGAAAAUGCCGAUUGACAAAGCUUUAUGAAGAACCGGACUGAAAAAUUGUCUUGUUUUAACAAUCAGAAGAGAUGCAUACACAUAAUUAUUCUUUAUAUAUUUCUUGUGCAUGAUAAUACAAAAGGUGUGUUUCUAUAUAUAUUUGUUUUUGCAGAGUAUCAGAGAGAUGAAGAUGGAUUACGAUAUUCAAAUAGAAUUCAUUGACAAGGGUGUUCAGGCUAUGUUGUUGAAAUGGGUCAAAAGUCCACUAAGUUUUAUACAACAAAAGGCCCGUGACAACGCACGGUCAUGUCACACACACUGAUGAAUUAUUGGCAUGGGAUAAUCUCUAGCUAGCGAGCACCUAGCCUGUUUGCUCCAUAAAGCACAUCUGCACAUAUAUUUUGUACUGAGCUCGAUAAAAAAUAACCUAAGAAAAAUAUGUCGUUCUUCUCUACAAUGGUUGCGUGUGGAAUUUGAGGAGAAUCUGUGCACCAACAUCCGGCUGCUUGAUGUUGCUCUGAUCAUAUUGUGUAAAUAUAUUUCUAAUAAAGCAAUCGCCCCAUGGUGUACAUGUUAGAAAUAACAAGAUGUAAUCAUCAAGUGUGAGAGAUGGCAACAUCAUGAUGGGAUGGUAUGUACUGUUAUGCUCAUCAAUAGAUUAGUCUUUCGUUCUCUUGUAGACAAAUGUUUUUUGUUAUGCAAACAAUUAGGAAAUAUCUAAUUUCUAUGUACGUCCAAAUAUAUAUAAGUGGUUGUUGUUAACACUGAGUUUGGAUUUGUUAAUGGUCGCUGCAUUUGGUC
Long non-coding RNA from Triticum aestivum (bread wheat), 5024 nucleotides. RefSeq lists it as uncharacterized. The transcript has 10 exons. The record is from RefSeq and is a predicted model, not a curated record. NCBI's taxonomy places the organism in Eukaryota, Viridiplantae, Streptophyta, Magnoliopsida, Poales, Poaceae.